GGAGGGAUAGCGAAGUGGCUAAACGCGGCGGACUGUAAAUCCGCUCUUUCGGGUUCGGCAGUUCGAAUCUGCCUCCCUCCACCA
Molecule: transfer RNA, 84 nt
Filed under: Trichococcus pasteurii
Lineage: Bacteria; Bacillati; Bacillota; Bacilli; Lactobacillales; Carnobacteriaceae
Also listed under: 7 other names
Description: tRNA_Tyr_GTA
Rfam family: tRNA
About the family: Transfer RNA (tRNA) molecules are approximately 80 nucleotides in length. Their secondary structure includes four short double-helical elements and three loops (D, anti-codon, and T loops).
Source: RNAcentral